Molecule: ribosomal RNA, 468 nt
Filed under: uncultured bacterium
Lineage: Bacteria
Description: partial 16S ribosomal RNA
Rfam family: Bacterial small subunit ribosomal RNA
Source: RNAcentral
GACGAACGCUGGCGGCGUGCUUAACACAUGCAAGUCGAACGGAAAGGCCCUGCUUUUGUGGGGUGCUCGAGUGGCGAACGGGUGAGUAACACGUGAGUAACCUGCCCUUGACUUUGGGAUAACUUCAGGAAACUGGGGCUAAUACCGGAUAGGAGCUCCUGUUGCAUGGUGGGGGUUGGAAAGUUUGGGCGGUUGGGGAUGGACUCGCGGCUUAUCAGCUUGUUGGUGGGGUAGUGGCUUACCAAGGCUUUGACGGGUAGCCGGCCUGAGAGGGUGACCGGCCACAUUGGGACUGAGAUACGGCCCAGACUCCUACGGGAGGCAGCAGUGGGGAAUAUUGCACAAUGGGCGGAAGCCUGAUGCAGCAACGCCGCGUGCGGGAUGACGGCCUUCGGGUUGUAAACCGCUUUCGCCUGUGACGAAGCGUGAGUGACGGUAAUGGGUAAAGAAGCACCGGCUAACUACGUG